UUAAGUUAUUAAGGGCGCACGGUGGAUGCCUUGGCACUAGAAGCCGAUGAAGGACGUUACUAACGACGAUAUGCUUUGGGGAGCUGUAAGUAAGCUUUGAUCCAGAGAUUUCCGAAUGGGGAAACCCAGCAUGAGUUAUGUCAUGUUAUCGAUAUGUGAAUACAUAGCAUAUCAGAAGGCACACCCGGAGAACUGAAACAUCUUAGUACCCGGAGGAAGAGAAAGAAAAUUCGAUUCCCUUAGUAGCGGCGAGCGAAACGGGAAGAGCCCAAACCAAAAAGCUUGCUUGUUGGGGUUGUAGGACACUCUAUACGGAGUUACAAAGGACGACAUUAGACGAAUCAUCUGGAAAGAUGAAUCAAAGAAGGUAAUAAUCCUGUAGUCGAAAAUGUUGUCUCUCUUGAGUGGAUCCUGAGUACGACGGAGCACGUGAAAUUCCGUCGGAAUCUGGGAGGACCAUCUCCUAAGGCUAAAUACUCUCUAGUGACCGAUAGUGAACCAGUACCGUGAGGGAAAGGUGAAAAGCACCCCGGAAGGGGAGUGAAAUAGAACCUGAAACCGUGUGCUUACAAGUAGUCAGAGCCCGUUAAUGGGUGAUGGCGUGCCUUUUGUAGAAUGAACCGGCGAGUUACGAUUUGAUGCAAGGUUAAGCAGUAAAUGUGGAGCCGUAGCGAAAGCGAGUCUGAAUAGGGCGUUUAGUAUUUGGUCGUAGACCCGAAACCAGGUGAUCUACCCUUGGUCAGGUUGAAGUUCAGGUAACACUGAAUGGAGGACCGAACCGACUUACGUUGAAAAGUGAGCGGAUGAACUGAGGGUAGCGGAGAAAUUCCAAUCGAACCUGGAGAUAGCUGGUUCUCUCCGAAAUAGCUUUAGGGCUAGCCUCAAGUGAUGAUUAUUGGAGGUAGAGCACUGUUUGGACGAGGGGCCCCUCUCGGGUUACCGAAUUCAGACAAACUCCGAAUGCCAAUUAAUUUAACUUGGGAGUCAGAACAUGGGUGAUAAGGUCCGUGUUCGAAAGGGAAACAGCCCAGACCACCAGCUAAGGUCCCAAAAUAUAUGUUAAGUGGAAAAGGAUGUGGCGUUGCCCAGACAACUAGGAUGUUGGCUUAGAAGCAGCCAUCAUUUAAAGAGUGCGUAAUAGCUCACUAGUCGAGUGACACUGCGCCGAAAAUGUACCGGGGCUAAACAUAUUACCGAAGCUGUGGAUUGUCCUUUGGACAAUGGUAGGAGAGCGUUCUAAGGGCGUUGAAGCAUGAUCGUAAGGACAUGUGGAGCGCUUAGAAGUGAGAAUGCCGGUGUGAGUAGCGAAAGACGGGUGAGAAUCCCGUCCACCGAUUGACUAAGGUUUCCAGAGGAAGGCUCGUCCGCUCUGGGUUAGUCGGGUCCUAAGCUGAGGCCGACAGGCGUAGGCGAUGGAUAACAGGUUGAUAUUCCUGUACCACCUAUAAUCGUUUUAAUCGAUGGGGGGACGCAGUAGGAUAGGCGAAGCGUGCGAUUGGAUUGCACGUCUAAGCAGUAAGGCUGAGUAUUAGGCAAAUCCGGUACUCGUUAAGGCUGAGCUGUGAUGGGGAGAAGACAUUGAGUCUUCGAGUCGUUGAUUUCACACUGCCGAGAAAAGCCUCUAGAUAGAAAAUAGGUGCCCGUACCGCAAACCGACACAGGUAGUCAAGAUGAGAAUUCUAAGGUGAGCGAGCGAACUCUCGUUAAGGAACUCGGCAAAAUGACCCCGUAACUUCGGGAGAAGGGGUGCUCUUUAGGGUUAACGCCCAGAAGAGCCGCAGUGAAUAGGCCCAAGCGACUGUUUAUCAAAAACACAGGUCUCUGCUAAACCGUAAGGUGAUGUAUAGGGGCUGACGCCUGCCCGGUGCUGGAAGGUUAAGAGGAGUGGUUAGCUUCUGCGAAGCUACGAAUCGAAGCCCCAGUAAACGGCGGCCGUAACUAUAACGGUCCUAAGGUAGCGAAAUUCCUUGUCGGGUAAGUUCCGACCCGCACGAAAGGCGUAACGAUUUGGGCACUGUCUCAACGAGAGACUCGGUGAAAUCAUAGUACCUGUGAAGAUGCAGGUUACCCGCGACAGGACGGAAAGACCCCGUGGAGCUUUACUGUAGCCUGAUAUUGAAAUUCGGCACAGCUUGUACAGGAUAGGUAGGAGCCUUUGAAACGUGAGCGCUAGCUUACGUGGAGGCGCUGGUGGGAUACUACCCUAGCUGUGUUGGCUUUCUAACCCGCACCACUUAUCGUGGUGGGAGACAGUGUCAAGCGGGCAGUUUGACUGGGGCGGUCGCCUCCUAAAAGGUAACGGAGGCGCUCAAAGGUUCCCUCAGAAUGGUUGGAAAUCAUUCAUAGAGUGUAAAGGCAUAAGGGAGCUUGACUGCGAGACCUACAAGUCGAGCAGGGUCGAAAGACGGACUUAGUGAUCCGGUGGUUCCGCAUGGAAGGGCCAUCGCUCAACGGAUAAAAGCUACCCCGGGGAUAACAGGCUUAUCUCCCCCAAGAGUUCACAUCGACGGGGAGGUUUGGCACCUCGAUGUCGGCUCAUCGCAUCCUGGGGCUGUAGUCGGUCCCAAGGGUUGGGCUGUUCGCCCAUUAAAGCGGUACGCGAGCUGGGUUCAGAACGUCGUGAGACAGUUCGGUCCCUAUCCGUCGUGGGCGUAGGAAAUUUGAGAGGAGCUGUCCUUAGUACGAGAGGACCGGGAUGGACAUACCUCUGGUGUACCAGUUGUCGUGCCAACGGCAUAGCUGGGUAGCUAUGUGUGGACGGGAUAAGUGCUGAAAGCAUCUAAGCAUGAAGCCCCCCUCAAGAUGAGAUUUCCCAACUUCGGUUAUAAGAUCCCUCAAAGAUGAUGAGGUUAAUAGGUUCGAGGUGGAAGCAUGGUGACAUGUGGAG
Molecule: ribosomal RNA, 2887 nt
Filed under: Staphylococcus aureus SJOS6124
Lineage: Bacteria; Bacillati; Bacillota; Bacilli; Caryophanales; Staphylococcaceae
Description: bacterial LSU rRNA
Rfam family: Bacterial large subunit ribosomal RNA
Source: RNAcentral